This 253-nucleotide ribosomal RNA is filed under the name uncultured bacterium. RNAcentral's name for it is "partial 16S ribosomal RNA". It matches the Rfam family "Bacterial small subunit ribosomal RNA", at positions 524 to 776 of the family's 1533-position model. The record is from RNAcentral.
UACGUAGGGGGCAAGCGUUAUCCGGAAUUACUGGGUGUAAAGGGUGCGUAGGCGGCAAGAUAAGUCAGGUGUGAAAUUCCCGUGCUUAACAUGGGAGCUGCACUUGAAACUGUUUAGCUAGAGUACAGGAGAGGUAAGUGGAAUUCCUAGUGUAGCGGUGAAAUGCGUAGAUAUUAGGAGGAACACCAGUGGCGAAGGCGACUUACUGGACUGUAACUGACGCUGAUGCACGAAAGCGUGGGGAGCGAACAGG